Molecule: ribosomal RNA, 666 nt
Filed under: Veluticeps abietina
Lineage: Eukaryota; Fungi; Basidiomycota; Agaricomycetes; Gloeophyllales; Gloeophyllaceae
Description: eukaryotic LSU rRNA
Rfam family: 5.8S ribosomal RNA (bases 256-409)
Source: RNAcentral
UCUUGGUCAUUUAGAGGAAGUAAAAGUCGUAACAAGGUUUCCGUAGGUGAACCUGCGGAAGGAUCAUUAACGAGUAAAUAAGGGGAGUUGUCGCUGGCCGCGAGGCAUGUGCACGCUCUCUGCUCAAUCCAACCUUACACCUGUGCAUCCACUGUAGGUCGGAUGGUCUGGUCCUAGCGGAUUGGGCCGUCCUUCCUAUGUUUUUACAAAUACUCCGAGUAACAUGAAUGUCAUCUGCGUCUAACGCAUCUAUACAACUUUCAACAACGGAUCUCUUGGCUCUCGCAUCGAUGAAGAACGCAGCGAAAUGCGAUAAGUAAUGUGAAUUGCAGAAUUCAGUGAAUCAUCGAAUCUUUGAACGCACCUUGCGCUCCUUGGUAUUCCGAGGAGCAUGCCUGUUUGAGUGUCAUGAAAAUCUCAACCCCUUCUGGCUUUGCGGCCGUGAAUGGGCUUGGACUUGGAGGCUUGCUGGCUCUUCGCGAGUCAGCUCCUCUCUAAAAUCAUUAGCUGGAUCUGUUGCGGACCGGCGCUCAGUGUGAUAAUUGUCUACGCUGUCGUCGCGAAGCGUCUUAAAGGAUCCGCUUCCAACUGUCUGUCUUCGGACGACCCUUUGACAUUUUGACCUCAAAUCAGGUAGGACUACCCGCUGAACUUAAGCAUAUCAUA